This 496-nucleotide ribosomal RNA is filed under the name uncultured bacterium. RNAcentral describes it as "partial 16S ribosomal RNA". It matches the Rfam family "Bacterial small subunit ribosomal RNA", at positions 28 to 523 of the family's 1533-position model. The record is from RNAcentral.
GAUGAACGCUAGCGGCAGGCCUAACACAUGCAAGUCGAGGGGUAGAGGUUGCUUGCAACCUUGAGAUCGGCGCACGGGUGCGUAACGCGUAUGCAAUCUGCCUUGUACUGAGGGAUAGCCCAGAGAAAUUUGGAUUAAUACCUCAUAGUAUCUUUUCCCGGCAUCGGGAGAUUAUUAAAGUUCCAACGGUACAAGAUGAGCAUGCGUCCCAUUAGCUAGUUGGUAUGGUAACGGCAUACCAAGGCAAUGAGUGGUAGGGGUCCUGAGAGGGAGAUCCCCCACACUGGUACUGAGACACGGACCAGACUCCUACGGGAGGCAGCAGUGAGGAAUAUUGGUCAAUGGGCGCAAGCCUGAACCAGCCAUGCCGCGUGCAGGAUGAAGCAUCUAUGGUGUGUAAACUGCUUUUAUACGGGAAGAAACACCGGUUCGUGAACCGGCUUGACGGUACCGUAAGAAUAAGGAUCGGCUAACUCCGUGCCAGCAGCCGCCGUAA